GAUGAACGCUGGCGGCGUGCCUAAUACAUGCAAGUCGAGCGAACGGACGAGAAGCUUGCUCCUCUGACGUUAGCGGCGGACGGGUGAGUAACACGUGGAUAACCUACCUAUAAGACUGGGAUAACUUCGGGAAACCGGAGCUAAUACCGGAUAAUAUUUUGAACCGCAUGGUUCAAUAGUGAAAGACGGUCUUGCUGUCACUUAUAGAUGGAUCCGCGCUGCAUUAGCUAGUUGGUAAGGUAACGGCUUACCAAGGCAACGAUGCAUAGCCGACCUGAGAGGGUGAUCGGCCACACUGGAACUGAGACACGGUCCAGACUCCUACGGGAGGCAGCAGUAGGGAAUCUUCCGCAAUGGGCGAAAGCCUGACGGAGCAACGCCGCGUGAGUGAUGAAGGUCUUCGGAUCGUAAAACUCUGUUAUUAGGGAAGAACAAAUGUGUAAGUAACUGUGCACAUCUUGACGGUACCUAACCAGAAAGCCACGGCUAACUACGUG
This 497-nucleotide ribosomal RNA is filed under the name uncultured bacterium. RNAcentral describes it as "partial 16S ribosomal RNA". It matches the Rfam family "Bacterial small subunit ribosomal RNA", at positions 28 to 507 of the family's 1533-position model. The record is from RNAcentral.